RNAcentral lists this long non-coding RNA (667 nucleotides) under Erythranthe guttata (spotted monkey flower). RNAcentral describes it as "long non-coding RNA (EGUT_LNC001360)". The record is from RNAcentral. Lineage: Eukaryota; Viridiplantae; Streptophyta; Magnoliopsida; Lamiales; Phrymaceae.
UUCCACCGAAUCCAACCGAGACAACAGUAACAAAAAGCUCAAGCAUUCACUUGAAAACCGUCGAGAUCAAACAAUGUUAUUACAACCUUGUUUCCAAUUUUCCAUCAGUUUCGGUGCAAACAAAACCUAGAAUCGAAAGUAAGCGCAAUAACACACUUAAAAAAUACAUCAAAUUACCAGAAGCUACAAAGCCAAGCACACACUUUCUUUCCAUACACAAUCGUCUGACCGGAAUUACAGUCCGGUAAUCAUCGUAAGGUGUGGAUCUCUAUUUUCGCAUAUAUACUACUUCCAACAAAACUUGGAAUCAUUAAUUUAAAAAAUAAAAAGGAAAAUUAUUACGAACUCAAAUUUCAUAAACAGAACCACAAACCCACUCGUCUAUAGAUAUAUAUACUCCUGUUAGUGUUUUUCUGAUUGACAGUAUCAAUCUAGAAUCCUGGAUUAAUAUCAUUACAACCAUUCAAAGAAACGUUCGCCGAAUUGAAUCACAUCUACACUCUUAAGUGCGUGAAAGAAAAAAAUAGAUCUGUGGAAGCAAGCGUACCGUUAAUCCGUUAUAGAAAGUGCAGAAUCUCAGCCUGAGUUCCCCGAAGAUGAAAUGGAAUGAGAUGAUGAAGAACUGAGAGCUAUUUGCGGCGGUGUGUGUGUUUGGUGUGGGUUGGGG